Molecule: ribosomal RNA, 292 nt
Filed under: uncultured bacterium
Lineage: Bacteria
Description: partial 16S ribosomal RNA
Source: RNAcentral
GGACUACCAGGGUAUCUAAUCCCGUUCGCUCCCCGCGCUUUCGCGUCUCAGCGUCAGUAACGGACCAGGGAGCCGCCUUCGCCACGGGUGUUCCUCCUGAUCUCUACGCAUUUCACCGCUACACCAGGAAUUCCACUCCCCUCUUCCGUCCUCAAGCCGUCCAGUCUCGAGCGGCAUCCCGGGGUUAAGCCCCGGGCUUUCACACCCGACUUAAACGGCCGCCUACACGCGCUUUACGCCCAGUAAAUCCGGACAACGCUCGCCCCCUACGUAUUACCGCGGCUGCUGGCAC